GAUGAACGCUGGCGGCGUGCUUAACACAUGCAAGUCGAACGAAGCACCUUGAUUUGAUUCUUCGGAUGAAGAUCUUGGUGACUGAGUGGCGGACGGGUGAGUAACGCGUGGGUAACCUGCCUCAUACAGGGGGAUAACAGUUAGAAAUGACUGCUAAUACCGCAUAUGACCACAGCACCGCAUGUUGCAGGGGUAAAAACUCCGGUGGGAUGAGAUGGACCCGCGUCUGAUUAGGUAGUUGGUGGGGUAACGGCCUAUCACGCCGACGAUCAGUAGCCGAGAGGGGAGGGGGACCGGCCACGUUGGAAAUGAGACACGGACCAAAAUCCGACGGGAGGGAGCAGUGGGGAAUAUUGCACAAUGGGGGAAACCCUGAUGCAGCGACGCCGCGUGAGAGAUGAAGUAGUUCGGUAUGUAAAGAUCUAUGAGAAGGGAAGAAAAUGACGGUACCGGACUAAGAAGCACCGGCUAAAUACGUG
This 479-nucleotide ribosomal RNA is filed under the name uncultured bacterium. Its description in RNAcentral is "partial 16S ribosomal RNA". It matches the Rfam family "Bacterial small subunit ribosomal RNA", at positions 28 to 507 of the family's 1533-position model. The record is from RNAcentral.